GACGAACGCUGACGGUGUGCUUUAGACAUGCAAGUCGAACGAGAAAGCCCUUCGGGUUAGUAAAGUGGCGAACGGGUGAGUAACACGUGGGCAAUCUGCCCCUCGCGAGGGGGACGAACCGGAGGAAACUCCGGCUAAUACCCCGUAAGUUCAAAGGGAGGCAUCUCUCUUCGAAGAAAGGUAGCUUCGGCCAUCCGGCGAGGGAUGAGCCCCGCGGUGCAUUAGCUAGGUUGGGUGGGGUAACCGGCCUACCAAGGCGACGAUGCAUAGCUGGUCUGAGAGGAUGAUCAGCCACACUGGGACUGAGACACGG
RNAcentral lists this ribosomal RNA (313 nucleotides) under uncultured bacterium. RNAcentral describes it as "bacterial SSU rRNA". It matches the Rfam family "Bacterial small subunit ribosomal RNA", at positions 28 to 329 of the family's 1533-position model. The record is from RNAcentral.